GGGGUUGUACUGGUUUCGAUUCAGGAUAGUGAUGGAGAACGAUGCAUGUAGCAGUUGAUCGAAAGGCUGCUCAACAAUUCGAUCAAGCCAUAACUGGCAAAGUUGUUAAGUUUGCUGCUGCUCCCGCAGUCGCAAUCGCUGCUUAACCGCCGAGUUUAAAACACCUUGCAAUCUUGUGUUUAAACUCGUAGAAGAAGGUUGCUAGUUUUCUAAUUUUCGAUUAGUUAGAAAAUAAAUUUUAAAUCGAUAGGAUAAAAAACCUUUUUUCAUUGUGGUUUUAAAUCUGAAAUGAGGCAACUCAAAUCAAUGGAAUAAACAUGUAGAUUCUUCUUUGUUUCAUCUUGAAGACAGG
RNAcentral lists this transfer-messenger RNA (352 nucleotides) under Neisseriaceae bacterium. It matches the Rfam family "transfer-messenger RNA". From Rfam's summary of the family: Bacterial tmRNA, also known as 10Sa RNA or SsrA, is named for its dual tRNA and mRNA-like properties. Lineage: Bacteria; Pseudomonadati; Pseudomonadota; Betaproteobacteria; Neisseriales; Neisseriaceae. The record is from RNAcentral.